AACCUCCGCAAUGUGAGAAAUCGCGACGGGGGGAUCCCAAGUGCCAUUCUUAACGGGAUGGCUUUUCAUUAGUGUAAAAAGCUUUUGGAAUAAGAGCUGGGCAAGACCGGUGCCAGCCGCCGCGGUAACACCGGCAGCUCUAGUGGUAGCAAUUUUUAUUGGGCCUAAAGCGUCCGUAGCCGGUUUAAUAAGUCUCUGGUGAAAUCCUGUAGCUUAACUGUGGGAAUUGCUGGAGAUACUAUUAGACUUGAGACCGGGAGAGGUUAGAGGUACUCCCAGGGUAGAGGUGAAAUUCUGUAAUCCUGGGAGGACCGCCUGUUGCGAAGGCGUCUAACUGGAACGGUUCUGACGGUGAGGGACGAAAGUUAGGGGCGCGAACCGGAUUAGAUACCCGGGUAGUCCUAACUGUAAACGAUGCGGACUUGGUGUUGGGGUGGCUUUGAGCUGCUCCAGUGCCGAAGGGAAGCUGUUAAGUCCGCCGCCUGGGAAGUACGGUCGCAAGACUGAAACUUAAAGGAAUG
This 521-nucleotide ribosomal RNA is filed under the name uncultured bacterium. RNAcentral's name for it is "bacterial SSU rRNA". It matches the Rfam family "Archaeal small subunit ribosomal RNA", at positions 345 to 866 of the family's 1478-position model. The record is from RNAcentral.